Molecule: ribosomal RNA, 377 nt
Filed under: uncultured delta proteobacterium
Lineage: Bacteria; Deltaproteobacteria
Description: bacterial SSU rRNA
Rfam family: Bacterial small subunit ribosomal RNA
Source: RNAcentral
UAACACGGAGGGUGCAAGCGUUGUUCGGAAUUACUGGGCGUAAAGGGCGUGUAGGCGGUUAGGCAAGUCAGGUGUGAAAUCCCUUGGCUCAACCAAGGAAGUGCGCUUGAAACUGCUUAACUAGAGUACAGUAGGGGAAAGUGGAAUUCCCAGUGUAGAGGUGAAAUUCAUAGAUAUUGGGAGGAACACCAGUAGCGAAGGCGGCUUUCUGGCCUGAUACUGACGCUGAGACGCGAAAGCGUGGGGAGCAAACAGGAUUAGAUACCCUGGUAGUCCACGCUGUAAACGAUGUGCACUAGGUGUAGGAAGUGUUGACCCUUUCUGUGCCGAAGCUAACGCAUUAAGUGCACCGCCUGGGGAGUACGGUCGCAAGGCUA